GUAACACGUAAAGAACCUGCCCUCAGGUCUGGGAUAACCACGAGAAAUCGGGGCUAAUACCGGAUGGGUCAUCGGACCGCAUGGUCCGAGGAUGAAAGGCGCUUCGGCGUCGCCUGGGGAUGGCUUUGCGGUGCAUUAGCUAGUUGGUGGGGUAAUGCCCCACCAAGGCGACGAUGCAUAGCCGACCUGAGAGGGUGAUCGGCCACACUGGGACUGAGACACGGCCCAGACUCCUACGGGAGGCAGCAGUAGGGAAUCUUCCACAAUGGACGAAAGUCUGAUGGAGCAACGCCGCGUGAACGAUGAAGGCCUUCGGGUCGUAAAGUUCUGUUGUAAGGGAAGAACAAGUGCCGCAGGCAAUGGCGGCACCUUGACGGUACCUUGCGAGAAAGCCACGGCUAACUACGUGCCAGCAGCCGCGGUAAUACGUAGGUGGCAAGCGUUGUCCGGAAUUAUUGGGCGUAAAGCGCGCGCAGGCGGCCUCUUAAGUCUGAUGUGAAAGCCCCCGGCUCAACCGGGGAGGGCCAUUGGAAACUGGGAGGCUUGAGUAUAGGAGAGAAGAGUGGAAUUCCACGUGUAGCGGUGAAAUGCGUAGAGAUGUGGAGGAACACCAGUGGCGAAGGCGACUCUUUGGCCUAUAACUGACGCUGAGGCG
This 655-nucleotide ribosomal RNA is filed under the name uncultured bacterium. RNAcentral's name for it is "bacterial SSU rRNA". It matches the Rfam family "Bacterial small subunit ribosomal RNA", at positions 110 to 753 of the family's 1533-position model. The record is from RNAcentral.